RNAcentral lists this ribosomal RNA (496 nucleotides) under uncultured bacterium. RNAcentral describes it as "partial 16S ribosomal RNA". It matches the Rfam family "Bacterial small subunit ribosomal RNA", at positions 30 to 523 of the family's 1533-position model. The record is from RNAcentral.
AUUGAACGCUGGCGGAAUGCUUUACACAUUCAAGUCGAACGGUAGAGGGGGCAACCCCUCGAGAGUGGCGAACGGGUGAGUAAUAUAUCGGAACGUGCCCAGUCGUGGGGGAUAACGUAGCGAAAGUUACGCUAAUACCGCAUACGAUCUAAGGAUGAAAGCGGGGGAUCGCAAGACCUCGCGCGAUUGGAGCGGCCGAUAUCAGAUUAGGUAGUUGGUGGGGUAAAGGCUCACCAAGCCAACGAUCUGUAGCUGGUCUGAGAGGACGACCAGCCACACUGGAACUGAGACACGGUCCAGACUCCUACGGGAGGCAGCAGUGGGGAAUUUUGGACAAUGGACGCAAGUCUGAUCCAGCCAUUCCGCGUGCAGGAUGAAGGCCCUCGGGUUGUAAACUGCUUUUGUACGGGACGAAAAGGUCUCUCUUAAUACGGGGGGCUCAUGACGGUACCGUAAGAAUAAGCACCGGCUAACUACGUGCCAGCCGCCGCGGUAA